Xenopus tropicalis (tropical clawed frog) is the source of this 1212-nucleotide long non-coding RNA. RefSeq lists it as uncharacterized. The record is from RefSeq and is a predicted model, not a curated record. The transcript has 2 exons. Lineage: Eukaryota; Metazoa; Chordata; Amphibia; Anura; Pipidae.
CUACAGCUAGCAUCUUCUUUUUAUUUUAAUCUUAACUGUGUUCAUUGAUUUCUGAUUUUGGAAUUUGUAAAAAUGCAUUUUUUUGCAGUAAACAGACUGGCCUCUCGGUUUUCCAGAAUGAUGCUUAAAAAUAGCAGCAGGACAUUUGACCAUGACGGAAACAAUGGACUAGGUAUGGAACAUAAUGAGUACUCUAAUGUACAUAGUUGAGUAGUUUAACCAGGCAGAUCAUUAUCAGUUUACAGAUCUACUAAGUUCAAGAAUUUUGUUGCUAAUUACAGCAUAAUGUAAUAAAUAAGUACAACAUAUGUAAUAACUGAGAAUACAAUUUGCUCAGGUUCACUAACCUAUAGGAAUUAGUUCCAUGCACAUUACAAGUUGCACAUUUCAUGUUGUAUAUUACAUGACAUCCUUGUGGUGAAAGAUUUAUUUUCAGGUUAUUGUUAUCAGUGUAUGAAACGCAAGCAAACAUGGAAAAGAAAGAUCAAAGGAAUUAAAGAAAAAUAUCAAUUACAGAGAACGAGGAGAGGUAAAGUAAUCUCAGGGACAAACUUAUUAACAUUGCUUUCCCCUUAAUGCAAAUUUGAUUAAAAACAGCGUUUUCCCAAACUGCAGAUAUUUUUUCUCAUGUGCAGAAAGUAUGGGAUGUAUUAUACUUUAUAAUCUAUGGUGUUUAUUUGUUACAAUGCAGUACAAAAAUGUACAAUUCUUCUGCACAUUUUUGGAAUCAGAUACCCUCUUGUUAUACCCCACAAUUUAAAUAUUUUGCUUUAACUGCCCACAUCAGAGUCCCUUCCUAGCACUGUCAUUGCGAUGCACAGCUCCCAGCACUUCAUUCUCAUGCUCAACUCCCAGCACCAGGCCUUGAACACAUUGGUGAAAGGUCAUAGUUUGGUUCACUUUCCACCCCAUACAAUAACAAUGACCUAACAAUAACUAACUGUAAAUUAAAUGUUGCUCUGUGGUCACUUAAAAUUCCUUUUCUUUCUCAGAGUACCUUAGGAAUAGGAACAGGAGGUUUAGACGUCCAUCAAUAACAAUUAAAAUUCUUCUAGAAAAAAAUGAAACUUAUGGUGAGGAAGCCACCGGCUCAGUAGCACAGGAGGAAGGUGCUUCAACAGCUCAUGAAGUAGCUCCUGACAGCGGACUGUUAUAAUAAAAGUUUAUAUGUUUGUUGUGUUUUGUUAAUAAAGUUUUUCAUUUGUUUGUUAA